AAUAAAUAAUAUAAUGGUCGUCUCAGUGCUAGUUCUGAGAUUUUUUUAUUCUCCAAGGCACUUUUUGACUUAGGUAUUUCAUGAUGAGACACAUCUCACCUGAGGCAACCUUUCGUAUAAGUUAAAGACAUCGAUACCCUCAUAGUAAAUGAAACCAAACCGAACUGAGUAUUCCCCUAAACCAAAUCAUACCAAGACCAACUUAUACGAAAUCCUAGCGAUCUAUCUCCCUCAUUUCCCCUCUUUUCUAACUCUCUCACUCUCUCCCAACGUUUGCGGCGGAGACUAAGACCCUAGUUUCAGACUCGCCUGUUUCACCUCUACUAUCCCAGCUGAUAACACUUUUUAUGCCAGCGUAGACAGAUUCCAACAUGCGAGAUUUACUCCGAGGUAAACACUUUCUGAAACUGGUCUCUCAAACCAAACUCUGAGAUUUGAUUUUUUAUUUUCGCGAUUUUUUCUGUCUUACCAAAGAUUUGAUUUUUAAUUUACGAGAUUUUCCCCUUCUCUAUCCAUUUGUUUUCUGCUUUCUCCCCUC
RNAcentral lists this long non-coding RNA (538 nucleotides) under Brassica napus (rape). RNAcentral's name for it is "long non-coding RNA (BNAP_LNC024437)". Lineage: Eukaryota; Viridiplantae; Streptophyta; Magnoliopsida; Brassicales; Brassicaceae. The record is from RNAcentral.